GCCCACCCAUUGGGCAUUAAUGCUUCUGAAAACCCAAUUUCCAAGGUAGGAGCUGUAUCACUUGGUGUGGCAGCAGCUCCUCCAGCCCUUUGCUUCUGAUGGACUUUUUGUCCAGGCAAAAAAAAAACUGAAAAAGAUCCCUGGAAUCUGACUUCCUCCAAAACCAACGGAAAUACCUAAACCAGGUAACCAACAUGACAAGCUGUAGUCUCAAAUCUCAUUUUCUUACUGUUACCCUCCAUAUACUGCACUGCUGGUGUGCCACCCAACACCUUGUGCAGCACAAGGAUGGAAAUAACCCCACCUAAAUCAGAAUCCUCCAGUUCCACUUUGGGAAGGUACUCGACUAAUAAUAUCCACCCCAGAAAAGCUGUAUUUGAUACACAGCUUAAGGAUAAAACAACACAUUCCUGCUAAAGAAACAGACAGGGGGGACAGUUGGAUUGGGCAGGAGCCCAACACCACCUCCAAACCUGACAGUGUUGUUAACUUUCAGAGCAGCCUGCUGGAAACUAUUCCCUUAUUCAUUCCAAACUUAUUUCAUUCUGCAAGGAUCCAUCUGCAGAAGGAACUCCCAGAGGGAGUCCUUUCAGCCUGCCAAGAAGAAAAGGGGCAGGAAUUCCAGCACCUUGUACAACAUUAUUCCGCGAAAUCCCUACAUCCAGAGCCCCACCAUUUAGUGAUAUUUCAGAGGGAGCUGGGGAUGAAGGAAAGCAACAGGCUAUUAUAUGUCAUUUCUAUUUACGUCCUAUGAGAAAUUUGCAGUUUUCAUCCUAUCUACAUUCUGAGCUUUGUCCUGGACUGAAGAAAUCAGCUCCAGAGAGGGAAAAUAGGAGAGCUUCGAGGUAGCAUGCCUGCAGUGUAAGGUAUUUCCAAGGAUAUUUUACUUUGGGAACUCAUUUCUCCAGUCCAAUGCCAUCAGAAGAACAGGACAGACCCCAGACAACCCUGACUCUCAGGUCUCCAAGUGAAGUUCUGGCUCAGGGAAAAUAAUUCAGAGGCCAGUUGCUCCAAUGGACCCACGACACAGGACUAUUUCCAGGAGUGUACUGCAAGACACACAUGAAAUGGUGUCUGUAUGUGUUCUUGAAAGUCCUGCUCUCUGUCUUGGUGAUGGUAUAGCAUCGGCAAGGGAUGCAUCGUACAGUACUCUUCAUCACCACUUCUGCCAUAAAGUGAGGGCAAAUUGCUCCUGAGGAGGCUGGAAAUCUGGGAUGCUACAGCAAGCUGUUGCUAAAUCCUGGAAAGCUUGAUGGAUCUUCUUACAGCAAGUGGAAACAGCUCAAAGUUCAGAUCAACCUCAUUUUUCAGCCACAUGCUCCCUCAUCACAAAUGCAAGCAGACAUUCAUAUACUACGCAAUAAUCCUUAUGGAAUAAACAUAGAUGAAACAUUGAAACAGGUUAUUUAAGAAUAGCAAGUGCCAGGAUGAGGACACUCAAUACUGGGGAGGUUUUAAAUGAGAUGCUGAUGUGACACCAGAGCCAGCACUGGUCAUGCCAACCCCACCACACCCACUGCUGCCUCCAACAGGGAUGGUUCAGUGUUCAGCUCCUGCUCCUCUGGGCUCUGCACAGUCUGAAAAAGCUGGACUCAAGAGCAGACUCAGUGGUAUUCUGGGGGUGAAAUAAAGGGAUAAUGUUUUUGUUGGAUUAUAUAGAAACAGGGCAACUUUAUCUUUUUUUUUUUUAAUUCCCCCUCUGCAGAGCACUCACACCACAGAAAUGCAACUGGAGGUAUACUGUCCAUACAAUGGCAAAGGAGCAGCUUAACAAACUUUAUUUCCCAUUAAGAUUAGCUCAAGAAGGGCUGUAAAACCGCAACUGUUCUGCAGGAACACGCUGCUAGAAGAUCAGCUCAAACCUGUCCAAAUCCUGCAUGAGAGAGGUUUAUUUUCCCAUCUUCACAGCCAUAAACAAGCAUCCCUUUCACAGCCUAACCAUCUUCUCAGCUCUGUAAGCUACACCAACAGUGACACGAAG
Molecule: long non-coding RNA, 1981 nt
Organism: Neopsephotus bourkii (Bourke's parrot)
Lineage: Eukaryota; Metazoa; Chordata; Aves; Psittaciformes; Psittacidae
Exons: 3
Source: RefSeq, a predicted model, not a curated record